This 2849-nucleotide long non-coding RNA is filed under the name Bemisia tabaci. Its description in RNAcentral is "lncRNA ENSSSA1UGG007294". Lineage: Eukaryota; Metazoa; Arthropoda; Insecta; Hemiptera; Aleyrodidae. The record is from RNAcentral.
AUGCCGACCCGACAACCGGCAGUUCCACCGCGGAAAGUGGGACCCUCGAGGAAGAUGGAGGAGGUCUCUGCCCUGAGGCACCGAUCGUUGUCCCCGACGCACGAGAGCAGCUUCGCGCCGCUCGUGCCGCGGGCGACCAAGUCCCAGGAGAAGGUCAUCCGGCCGGAGCUCAAACCCGUGGACACGCGGGUCCGACGGGAGCGAUUGGAGAGGAGGGUGGAGACGAGUCAGAGACGGAGUAUAUUCGACAGUGGCCGGGACAGCUGGCUCAACGCACCUAAAGGGGACCGCAGGAGUCAAAGGCAGCCCGAGGGGAGGGAUAGGCGCACGAAGAAAGAAGAGCCGAGGACAAGGUUAGACUCAGGCGAUUCAAUCUUGGAAGAACUGACAAAAGCAGCCGACGAGAUCCUGCUAGCGGUCAACGGGUGCACGGACGACGAGUCCCGCGCCAGCAGCGACGACGAACGCAAGCCCACGAAACAGCCCGCGCCAGCGCCGGCCCCGCUGGCGGCCAUCGCGGAGAACCCUCCCACGCGGCGCCUCCGGACGGCCGAGCGCUCCGAGGCCCGCCUCAAGUCCCGCGCUAAGCCCACGGCGGAGCCCACCAAGCCCACGGAACCCUCCCGAGCCGCCCGCACCGUGGACGAACGGAACCGGAGGCGGCUUGCCCGCGUGUCGCUCAACCGUGGACACGUCGCUUCCUCGUCCGAGGACAUAGAGUCGGCCGCCGAGAACGCCGCCAACGCCAAGAUGAAGAGGGUUGUCAGGAGGGUCGUUAAGUCGCAGCCCACCAGGGAUCCUGUUUCCAGCAGCCAUAAACCAAGGGAAAGGGUUUAUCGAGUGGAUCACCCGGAGGAAGAGAAGAAAAUUGUAAGAUCGUCAACGCGAGAGAACGGACUUCGGAAAGUAGACUACCUCUCGUCCUCGGCGCACAGACGGAAGAGAACCAGCGAGACCGUAGCCAAGCCUGAAGAUCUCAGAAAUUCCAACGUCAGUCAUUUAGAGAGCCGUAAGGAGUCUCACCGAACGGUUAGAGGAUCCUCACAUGGUCAAAAAUGUGAUUCUCGGAUCAAGAUUGUGUCAUCAAGCAAUAAAAGUCGCAUAAUACCUUCAUCAAAAUGAAGCUGUAUAAUUAAAACUAGUCACCUCAAGGUCUGAUAGUCAGCUAUGUGCGUGUCUGAUUUUCUUCGUUGAAGCACCGACUACUUAUCUAAUUAUCUGCCCCCCCCCCCCUCUCCCCACAUUCUCCCGUUGGGGUGUGUUUUCAGUGCUAAAAGUUAGAAUAAAACUGUCUUUAGUCUUUUGAAACUUGCAAAAGAAUUGAAACUGACUGGUACUAAAUUAAAUUCUACUAAGUACUCUAAAAACUUCUGAAAUCCCUCAAUUUAUAUAUUGUUGUUCUAGUUGUUCUGUAAAUCCAUGAAGCUUAUUUAUUAAUUUAUUUCUAACUAAUAGCAUGUCCUGUUUUGGAAAAAUUCAGAGACAUUUUAUUUCUAAUUCGGAAGUCAUGAUUAAUAGCGCAGUUAUAUGGACAUAUACGUCCCCUCCCCCUUAAAAACUGCAUUAAAACUUGAAAACUAUUAAGGACCGUCCUGUGUUCUUCAGGUAACUUUAAGUUCUAUAAUAGGUAAACUCUCCUGGACAGAGGUAAGCGAACUUCCUGUAAAAGUACAUAUUUGCUGUUUUCACAGAAGUCGUGGAAUACAUGGAUUUAUUUACAUCACGGUUGUACCAACAUAGAAACACAUAGCGCAUUAUUACUUAUCUCCCAUAAAAAAUGUCCCUUAUUAUGAAGCCAAUAGUUAUGCAAUAUGAUUUUUUUUUCUGGUGUACAGAACUGCUGACCAUGAGACAUAAAUCAAAAGAAAAUGAAGCCUUUUAGCCAUAAGUAUUUACCUAUCUCUCGUGUCAUUGAACACGAAGAAAAAUCUGUACCGCUGAAGAUGAGAAAAAACUUAGUUUGUUUGCCUAUUUUUGUAUGUAGUAUUUAUGGACUCACAUUCAAUCGCCAUAAAUUGUAAAUACCUAUUUCUUUUUUCCCUUUUUUUACUGUUCAUUGUUUAAGUGUUAUUAAUUCGCUCAUCUGCUGUUCAAAUACAGAUUAUUUUUUUACUAAUUGAAACAAAGUUGUAGAUUUUUUCCUGUUCCACUAAAAACAUAUUUACUUAAAAUUAUGUAAAAAUUGAGAAGCUUUCCGAGGGAAGGGCCCAAAAAGUUCACACGCUCUUUUUUUGGAACUUUGUCGUACUUGGAUUCAGCGUAUCUGUUGUAUGCGCGUGCAAAAUUGCAGCUCAAUUCGUGAAUUUUUUGAGCCGGGAGAUUUCCGUUAACACGAUUUAUCGCCAUCAGUUUCUACUCAAAUCCUGAAAAAUCAAUAAAUUUGUAACCUAUCCACAUGAAAAGGGACCUUACUGAUGGAAAAUCAAAAUUAAGUUCCUGUCAUUUGAGUUUAGAAGACUGUUCCUCAAACGCUCAGGGGCAAAUACUCCAAAAAAUGUGAAACCAAAGUCGAGAGUUUGGUUAGCCACAAAACAAGACAAUUUGAGGUUCAAAUUACUUUUUUCAGAAUUGGGCACACUCUUUCCAGUCACAACCUCAUAAUCUGUGAAGAGGAUGAGCGCUCGACAUGACUGCAUUUAAAUGGUUUGUCAUUGGGUUUAGAAUAAAACAUGAGUUUUUCAGGUAUAACUGCCGGCAUGGAUUUUUGGCCCACAGUUUUUGGAGUUUUUGUCUCCGAGCAUUUGUGGAACAGUUUCUAGACUCAAAAGACGAGAACUGAAUUUUGACUUUCCACGCACCAAUUGCUCUAGGGUCCUUUUUAUUGGAUGGACCCAAAUUUACUGAUUUUU